UACGUAGGUGGCAAGCGUUGUCCGGAAUUACUGGGUGUAAAGCGCGUGUAGGCGGCAGACCAAGUCGGCGGUGAAAGCGCCCGGCUCAACUGGGCGAGGUCCGUGGAAACUGGUCAGCUGGAGGACGGUAGAGGCGAGUGGAAUUCCCGGUGUAGUGGUGAAAUGCGUAGAGAUCGGGAGGAACACCUGUGGCGAAGGCGGCUCGCUGGGCCGGUCCUGACGCUGAGGCGCGAAAGCUAGGGAGCAACAGG
RNAcentral lists this ribosomal RNA (251 nucleotides) under uncultured bacterium. RNAcentral describes it as "partial 16S ribosomal RNA". It matches the Rfam family "Bacterial small subunit ribosomal RNA", at positions 524 to 776 of the family's 1533-position model. The record is from RNAcentral.